ACCGGGGUGGCGGAAAUGGUAGACGCGCCAGAUUUAGGAUCUGGUCUCCACUGGAGGUGAGGGUUCGAGUCCCUUCCCCGGUA
Molecule: transfer RNA, 83 nt
Filed under: Fidelibacterota bacterium
Lineage: Bacteria; Pseudomonadati; Fidelibacterota
Description: tRNA-Leu
Rfam family: tRNA
About the family: Transfer RNA (tRNA) molecules are approximately 80 nucleotides in length. Their secondary structure includes four short double-helical elements and three loops (D, anti-codon, and T loops).
Source: RNAcentral